This 429-nucleotide ribosomal RNA is filed under the name uncultured bacterium. Its description in RNAcentral is "bacterial SSU rRNA". It matches the Rfam family "Bacterial small subunit ribosomal RNA", at positions 355 to 776 of the family's 1533-position model. The record is from RNAcentral.
UGGGGAAUAUUGGACAAUGGGGGCAACCCUGAUCCAGCAAUGCCGCGUGUGUGAAGAAGGCCUUCGGGUUGUAAAGCACUUUGGGCGGGGAAGAAGUUAAUCUGUUUAAGAGAUGGGUUAAUUGACGGUACCCGCAGAACAAGCACCGGCUAACUCUGUGCCAGCAGCCGCGGUAAUACAGAGGGUGCGAGCGUUAAUCGGAAUUACUGGGCGUAAAGGGCGCGUAGGCGGUACAUCAAGUGUGAUGUGAAAUCCCUGGGCUUAACCUGGGAAUGGCAUCACGGACUGGUGUACUGGAGUACUGUAGAGGGCAGUGGAAUUUCCGGUGUAGCGGUGAAAUGCGUAGAGAUCGGAAGGAACACCAGUGGCGAAGGCGACUGUCUGGACAGAUACUGACGCUGAGGCGCGAAAGCGUGGGGAGCAAACAGG